RNAcentral lists this transfer RNA (72 nucleotides) under Eutypa lata UCREL1. RNAcentral's name for it is "tRNA-iMet (CAT) (tRNA-iMet-CAT-3-1)". It matches the Rfam family "tRNA". Rfam says of the family: Transfer RNA (tRNA) molecules are approximately 80 nucleotides in length. Their secondary structure includes four short double-helical elements and three loops (D, anti-codon, and T loops). Lineage: Eukaryota; Fungi; Ascomycota; Sordariomycetes; Xylariales; Diatrypaceae. The record is from Rfam by way of RNAcentral.
AGCAAUCUGGCGCAGCGGGAGCGCGCCGGGCUCAUAACCCGGAGGUCCCUGGAUCGAAACCAGGGAUUGCUA